UCAGAAUUCAUCAAUAUACUUCAAUCAUCUGCGAACGCUACAUACAGCAAUACUCGAAAUAUCAUUCAUUCAACCAUGGCCAAGAACAUCAGCACGUUCCUCAGUUUCUUUUUAUUCGUUUUGAUUGCCAUCCCGACCUCUUCUUCGACCAGGAUGCUACUCCAGGAGGUUCAGGAACUAGCACCUUUCUGCACAGAAUAUAAUCCAGAUUUACGAUGUGCUACUCCCUGGGACCCAGAAUUUACAUGCCCAGAAGGUCAGCAUCCAUGCAGGAGCAACUGUGGAGUUUCAAAAUGCCUGGCACCUUUCUGCGCAGAAUAUAACCCAGCGUUACGAUGCGGUACCCCCUGGGACUCAGAUUUUACAUGCCCAGAAGGCCAGCAUCCGUGCAGGAGCAACUGUGGCAGAUCAAGAUGCCUCGCAAAUUAACCACUUCACGCUCAUUGUGCCGCGCAGUUCAUACAUAUAUACCUUAAUAACUAUUGUUUGUGUGUCCAUGGUAUUGUGUUUUCUCCUCUUAAUAAUUUGAUCAAUGUUAAUUUCUAUGUCUAUUCUUAUGUACCCAUGUUUGUACUUUCUUCCUAAAUAUGAAGCGGACUGCGUGUUGUGUUAUGUUAAGUUGUGUUUGAUAAAAGUUGUGCAAACUGUAUAAAUAAAAUUAAGCUGUGUUUGAUAAAA
Molecule: long non-coding RNA, 678 nt
Organism: Papaver somniferum (opium poppy)
Lineage: Eukaryota; Viridiplantae; Streptophyta; Magnoliopsida; Ranunculales; Papaveraceae
Exons: 2
Source: RefSeq, a predicted model, not a curated record